CAGGGAGAGUGGGAUCGUGUGCACCCUCAUCGUGUGUGCAGGCGAUACUGAGCUGAGUGGUGCAGGUGAGGCGUUAGAGGGAAGGGAUGCUAUCCAGAGGGACGUGGAGAGCCUUAGAGGUGGGCCCAUGCCACCGUGAGGAAGUUCAGCGAGGCCGAGAGCAAGGCCCUGCAUUUGGGUUCGGGGUGAUCUCAAGCACUGACGUGGGUUGGGUGGAGAAUGGCUGGAGAGCGGCCCCGUGGAGAAGGAUUUGGGAGUGUGGACUGCUGAGAGAUUGAGCGCGAGCUGGCAAGGUGUGCUCGCUGCCCAGAAGGCCAAGCGUAGCCUGGGUUGCGUGAAGAGGAAGAAGCGUGGAAGUGGGAGAGUGUAUGUUUAGACCAGGUGUUGGGAAGAAGUUCCUUACUGUGAGGCUGCCAUGGCAGACGUUUUCUUUGGAAUAUACAAGUGGUGUUCCAGGUAUCCUGUCAGGUCUUCAACAGUCACAUCAUCGACAUAGGUGGGAGCCUCCUCAGAAUAGGAUGUGGGAGAAGUCCACGAGGCUGUUUCACAGAGGGGUCUGUUAAGCGUGGAUAAGGAGAAACAAGCUGAGGUUUGGCUGUUGUGUGAGUCAGAGUGGAAGGAUGAGGGCAGAGCGAGGCAGUUCUCCCGUGACAGAGCGCAGUGUCUCCUGGUGGCGGCAGAAAUCCCCACCGUGCUCAGUGCUGUUCCCUGCCACCACGUCAGCCCACAUCCCCUGCUGGGGACAGCGUGCUGCCAGCAUAUGCCGGGUCACCUGCUGUCCGUGGGGACCGGGUAACGGCACGGAGCAGUGUGAGGACUGCAGCCCCGCUUAGCAGUGUGCCCCGUGGAUGUGGGGCUGCCCCAUGGCUGUGGCCGCUGCAGUGAGGGCUCCUGCGUGGGGCUGCGGUGUGUGCCUGCCUGCCUGCCUGCCAUCCCAGGGUGGGCCGGGAGAGGAGAGCAGCUGAGCUGGCAUGGUGCCUGCGCCUGGGGAGCUAUUUGGAGAUGCGUUUGAUGUCUCCGCCGCAAGGGUGAUGGAUGCUGGGGCGAACGUCGUGAUGGCACAGCCAACGCUCUGUGCUGGGCUUUGAAGUCUCCCGAGCGGAGCAUCCCAGCUCGCAGAUUUGGGAAGACAUGGACUACGGGGCAGGAGAUGCUACUUGCCAAGGCGGCUACGUGAGGAGCAGCCUCAGAGCUCAACAUCCCAGCUGCACCCUGCUCCAGGAGGACGCAGGAGUUCCCCGUCAGCUGUCCCUUCCUCCGCAUCUCUGUCACUGUGUCCCCGGUGUGCAGACCCCGGUGAGAUGCCGCCACGCACCGUGGGCUCCUGAAGCCAUGGAGCAGCACAGACCCAAGGAGGAGGACGAGCAGGCUGAGUGCGUAAACGUGGGAGGAUACAGGACAGGAGACCCGGAACGUCCGUGCCGUGAGAGACCGGCCGGUCCUCCUGCAGUCCUCUCACACCUGCAGGGUCAGAACAGGUGAACAGACUGAGACGGCUGUUGGUGUGCAGUCCCUGACAGGAGCAGCGGAAGAGCCUUAAGGAAGCGGGGCUCUCCCAGAAGAGAGAGGCACGCAAACACUGCUGCUGUAAAGCUUCAGGUGAUGGGCUGCGACAAUUGCGUGUGCAGCCCUGAGCUCCUCUGCACUCAGCGGUGAGAAACGGGACCCGCCAGAGAUCUGUCAGAGCGCUCCGUCUCUGCUGAGCGCGGUACCGACAGCCGCGCACCGCUCCGCGCCACUCACCGCGCCGCGUCCACCCGCAGCUCCUGGAGGGCCGUCCGCAGGCUGCGCUCCUCCUCGUCCUCGUCGUCGUCGUCCUCGUCCUCGUCGUCGUCCUGCUGCUGCUGCUGCUGCUCCUCCUCGUCCUCGUGCCGCCUGUUUGCAAGCCAAGGACACGUGAAAGGAACGUCAGCGGGACUGAGGCGGAGCUGCACCCAGCCUGUGGUGGGCGACCCAAUAAAAGCCAACUGUUUCGUAA
Long non-coding RNA from Gallus gallus (chicken), 1978 nucleotides. RefSeq lists it as uncharacterized. The transcript is spliced from 4 exons. The record is from RefSeq and is a predicted model, not a curated record. Lineage: Eukaryota; Metazoa; Chordata; Aves; Galliformes; Phasianidae.